ACUCUAAGUCAAAGUCUCCCUGGCUCAAGCCCUUUUCUUCCACUGAGACCCUCUGCGGGAGAGUCUGUGCUGAAUCUCAGGUAAUCAGAGGAGGGUGGUGAAGAGGGCAGAACUGAAGAACAUCAAAGUCCCAGCAUUCAAGAUAGGCAUCUCUCACCUUGAAGUCUUUUAAAAACUCCAAAGGGGCAAAAAUAAAAGCCCAAAGACAAA
This 210-nucleotide long non-coding RNA is filed under the name Mus caroli (Ryukyu mouse). Its description in RNAcentral is "lncRNA (MGP_CAROLIEiJ_G0004457.1)". The record is from RNAcentral. Lineage: Eukaryota; Metazoa; Chordata; Mammalia; Rodentia; Muridae.